UUUGGCUUGGAUUCUUCCUUUAGUUCUGAGCUCUUCUUCGUUCAUUUUCUCUACUUGUUUUUCAUUCUGGAGACGCACUGGGAGAAUCCAAGAGCCCCCCAGGCUUCUUCUCUCUACACACCUUUGCAGGGGGUUAGAAACAAGAUAUAAAUGAAGAGAGUCCCUGAUCUCAUAUAUGUAUUACGGAUAUGGAAAAAGAAAUAAAGAGCUUCUUUGAGGGUCUGAAGAAGAAAGAAAAUGUUUUCUGCAACACGAAAGCUGAACAAACUUCAUUUGCAUCAAGAGAUGAAACUUUUUUUCCGGAGACCAGUCGGUAUGUAGGAAGAGACUGCAGCGCCAACGCUGUAGGUGCAAUACAAUAGGCCUCAUUCAGAGGCAACUCUGCAUGUGCUGCAAACGCUGAUGGAUCAUAAAGAAGGAGGGAGAAAGAGAGCAGGCAUUGGAUCGGCUGUAGUGACAGCUGCAUCAUGGAGAUCAGGAGGGAGGCGUCGCCCCAGGCACAACAGGAGACGCCAUGAGAGCGAACGCUCGGCCCGUUAAGUAGGACCACUUUAUCCUGUCAAUACCUUCAGCAGAGCGUUAUUGACUUGAACUUUGAGAGAGUCGCUGUGUUACAAAGGAGGGAAAGAAAGACUUGAAUACAAAAAUGUUUAA
Long non-coding RNA from Cyprinodon tularosa, 654 nucleotides. RefSeq lists it as uncharacterized. The transcript has 3 exons. NCBI's taxonomy places the organism in Eukaryota, Metazoa, Chordata, Actinopteri, Cyprinodontiformes, Cyprinodontidae. The record is from RefSeq and is a predicted model, not a curated record.